Molecule: transfer RNA, 76 nt
Filed under: Verrucomicrobiota bacterium
Lineage: Bacteria; Pseudomonadati; Verrucomicrobiota
Also listed under: 1 other name
Description: tRNA-Arg
Rfam family: tRNA
About the family: Transfer RNA (tRNA) molecules are approximately 80 nucleotides in length. Their secondary structure includes four short double-helical elements and three loops (D, anti-codon, and T loops). Further hydrogen bonds mediate the characteristic L-shaped molecular structure. tRNAs have two regions of fundamental functional importance: the anti-codon, which is responsible for specific mRNA codon recognition, and the 3' end, to which the tRNAs corresponding amino acid is attached (by aminoacyl-tRNA synthetases). tRNAs cope with the degeneracy of the genetic code in two manners: having more than one tRNA (with a specific anti-codon) for a particular amino acid; and 'wobble' base-pairing, i.e. permitting non-standard base-pairing at the 3rd anti-codon position.
Source: RNAcentral
GCCCCGAUAGCUCAAAUGGAUAGAGCAGCGGUUUCCUAAACCGUUGAUCCAGGUUCAAUUCCUGGUCGGGGUACCA